This 497-nucleotide ribosomal RNA is filed under the name uncultured bacterium. RNAcentral's name for it is "partial 16S ribosomal RNA". It matches the Rfam family "Bacterial small subunit ribosomal RNA", at positions 28 to 507 of the family's 1533-position model. The record is from RNAcentral.
GAUGAACGCUGGCGGCGUGCCUAAUACAUGCAAGUCGAGCGAACGGACGAGAAGCUUGCUUUUCUGAUGUUAGCGGCGGACGGGUGAGUAACACGUGGAUAACCUACCUAUAAGACUGGGAUAACUUCGGGAAACCGGAGCUAAUACCGGAUAAUAUUUUGAACCGCAUGGUUCAAAAGUGAAAGACGGUCUUGCUGUCACUUAUAGAUGGAUCCGCGCUGCAUUAGCUAGUUGGUAAGGUAACGGCUUACCAAGGCAACGAUGCAUAGCCGACCUGAGAGAGUGAUCGGCAACGCUGGAACUGCGACACAGUCAAGACUCCUACGGAAGGCAGCAGUAGGCAAUCUUCCGCGAUGGGCGCAAGCCUGACGCAGCAACGCCGCUUGAGUGAUGAAGGUAUUCGGAACGUAAACCUCUGUUAGUAGGGAAGAACAUAUGUGUAAGUAACUGUGCACAUCUUGACGGUACCUAAUCAGAAAGCCACGGCUAACUACGUG